This 610-nucleotide ribosomal RNA is filed under the name Limnophora maculosa. Its description in RNAcentral is "partial 12S ribosomal RNA". The stretch from base 382 to 453 matches the Rfam family "tRNA". Lineage: Eukaryota; Metazoa; Arthropoda; Insecta; Diptera; Muscidae. The record is from RNAcentral.
AAAAAUUUGGCGGUAUUUUAGUCUAUUCAGAGGAACCUGUUCUAUAAUCGAUAAUCCACGAUGGACCUUACUUAAAUUUGUAUACAGUUUAUAUACCGUCGUUAUUAGAAUAUUUUAUAAGAAUAUUAAUUUUCUAAAUUUUUAAAUAAAAAAUAUAUCAGAUCAAGGUGUAGCUUAUAUUUAAGUAGAAAUGGGUUACAAUAAAAUUAUUUAAAUGAAUUUAAAUUUGAAAUGUUUUUUGAAAUUGGAUUUGAUAGUAAAAUUAUAAAGAUUAAUAAUUUGAUUUUAGCUCUAAAAUAUGUACACAUCGCCCGUCACUCUUAUUAUUAAGGUAAGAUAAGUCGUAACAUAGUAGAUGUACUGGAAAGUGCAUCUAGAAUGCAAUUUAAAGCUUUAUAAGUAAAGUAUUUCAUUUACAUUGAAAAGAUUUUUGUGCAAAUCAAUAUAAAUUGAAUAAAUUUUAUUUAUUAAUUUUUUUUUUUGUUAAAAUUAUUUAUUAAAAAUAAUUAUAAAAAUUAUUGUUUUAGUAUUUUAUAAAAAAAAAAUAAAUUUAAUUAUAGUUUAAUAGUAUUGUAAAAGAAAAUUGAAAUAAUUUGAAAAAUUUUUAUUU